UCUGCAAAUCACACUAUCUGA
This 21-nucleotide non-coding RNA is filed under the name Caenorhabditis elegans. The record is from RNAcentral. Lineage: Eukaryota; Metazoa; Nematoda; Chromadorea; Rhabditida; Rhabditidae.